UCUGGUGAUAAUAGCAUUGUGGUCCCACCUGAUCCCAUCCCGAACUCAGAAGUGAAACGCAAGCGCGCCGAUGGUAGUGUGGGGUCUCCCCAUGUGAGAGUAGGUCAUCGCCAAAC
RNAcentral lists this ribosomal RNA (116 nucleotides) under Shewanella seohaensis. Lineage: Bacteria; Pseudomonadati; Pseudomonadota; Gammaproteobacteria; Alteromonadales; Shewanellaceae. The record is from RNAcentral.